RNAcentral lists this long non-coding RNA (919 nucleotides) under Fukomys damarensis (Damara mole-rat). Its description in RNAcentral is "lncRNA (ENSFDAG00000033127.1)". The record is from RNAcentral. Lineage: Eukaryota; Metazoa; Chordata; Mammalia; Rodentia; Bathyergidae.
UUCCUGUGUGACCCUGGGCCAGUCCCCAAGUGUUUCAGCAUCUUCACCUGUGAACAGGUCUUACUUUGCACGGCAUACUGCCCGCCACAAUGGUGAAGCCAUAACAAGACGAGCUGGAAGAAAGUCCUUGUAGCAAAGAAAAAAUAGGAAGCAUUAUGUUACAUAAGCUCAACUGGCCAGCCCUUCACAAAGUUAGAAUGCAGACUCCCAGCAGGAAGCCGAGGUUCAGGAAGUCUGCAGCCCUUUGUUAGAGACGUGCUUUUACAGGCUUGCUCCGCUGGGCACAGAAGUGACUUUCAGGUGUCAGAGACGUGCAAGUUUCAAGCUGUGCAGCCUUGCUCGAGUCAUGUUUCCUCUGGGCCGCAGCUCCCACACCGGUUAAACUGCAGGCUGUGUAGGUGGACGUGUGCGGCAGGAUGGCGUCAGAACUCCUGUCUCUGCUACCGAUUUCGCGGAAGAUCCACCCACUUCUGUUUUGCCACCUGCAGCGACAGUUUCUCCGUGCCUCGGUUUACCCAGCUACAGAACAAGUUUUGAAACCCCUUUCCCUCUUGCAGCUUGCUUCCACUCCCAGCGGAUGCAUAUAUGAGUCCCCAAAUUCGGAUGCUACGGGAAGGCGAAAGAAGUCACAGAUUGGAAAUAAUGCGUCAGAGUUUCAAAUCUCACGCAGUCCAGCGGCAACAGCCCCCUUUGAGUAGCCAGUGUUUUUGUUUGAGCACAGCUGCGCGGUCUGUGCGAUCUGUGCCCAAAAGAAGAGCAAUCUGAACACCUAGGAUGUGCCAGGCUUUGUCCUAGGGGUUUUAUAUGCUUCAAUGCACUUAAUCCCCCUUGUAAUUCAGGGAAAUAAGCUGCCCUGUCUCUUUGUAAUAAAGUUGAAGUUGAAACCGGUGAGUGGUGGGUAUAUUUACAGCUGGUCCCA